AUGAACGCUAGCUACAGGCUUAACACAUGGCAAGUCCAGGGGGAAACGACAUUGGAAGCUUGCUUCGAUGGGCGUCGACCGCGCACGGGUGAGUAACGCGUAUCCAACCUGCCCAUCACUUGGGGAUAACCUUGCGAAAGUAAGACUAAUACCCAAUGAUAUCUCUAGAAGACAUCUGAAAGAGAUUAAAGAUUUAUCGGUGAUGGAUGGGGAUGCGUCUGAUUAGCUUGUUGCGGGGUAACGGCCCACCAAGGCGACGAUCAGUAGGGGUUCUGAGAGGAAGGUCCCCCACAUUGGAACUGAGACACGGUCCAAACUCCUACGGGAGGCAGCAGUGAGGAAUAUUGGUCAAUGGACGAGAGUCUGAACCAGCCAAGUAGCGUGCAGGAUGACGGCCCUAUGGGUUGUAAACUGCUUUUAUAAGGGAAUAAAGUGAGAGUCGUGACUCUUUUUGCAUGUACCUUAUGAAUAAGGACCGGCUAAUUCCGUG
Molecule: ribosomal RNA, 490 nt
Filed under: uncultured bacterium
Lineage: Bacteria
Description: bacterial SSU rRNA
Rfam family: Bacterial small subunit ribosomal RNA
Source: RNAcentral